AGCUAAGUAUACAGAGUCUAGGGGCCGUGGGGAGCUGGAGGAAGAGAUCCAGUGUAAAUAUAACUUCCAAGCUGACCAUUGCUCUAUUGCUCUCUUGGCAGUUUCUUGCUUUCUGUUGCACUGCGUGAAGUGUGAAGCUUAUUCUUGAAGAGACCUCUAGCUGGCUCUACAGUGGAAAUGGAUCCAGAAGUUUCUAGAUAGUUUUGAGGAGAGUUCAGAAGGGAGGAGAGCCCAGCAUCGUUUGAAAGAGUGUAGCCUAGAACUCAACUGGAUGGAUCCACACCCUGAAUUACACAGAUGCGUGGCACUUUGAUGAGCUUGAGAGCAGCUGAAGAAACAGUAUGGAGGGAGCCUGGAGGAACUGCUUACAUAGGAAGAACCCAGGACAAGGCCUUGGAUGCCGGCAGCUCAUCUGUGAACUGCCGAGCCGGAGACCAGAGUGAGCCGUCAGAGUUCAGUUAGCCUCAUGAGUUCCAGAAGGACAAAAUCUGCAAGUGGGAAGCAGGACCUGGUGGUGGGAGAGCAGGCCUGUAGAGAAGAUGGAGUUUGUGGCCCUCAUGGAAUGAAGAAAAAGUAUUUGAGCAUUAGACCUCCCACUUUCAAUGGUUUGUACAAAGACCUCUAUUUCUAGAAGAAAAACAUCUAUCAUGUCCCGUUCAUCCCAAAGCACUGAGCAGUCCAGAGAGGACCAAACAAACGUGAUCCAUGAGGAACAGCGAUGAACAAGGUUGCGGGGGAGAAGCACACUCUGCUGGGGCAGAGCCUACACUCGCUGCCCUGAGGACCCUACCCUGUGUCAGGGUCCUCCCUGGGUCUUUCUUCAGCAAACCAAGCAUGAUUAAAGUGGGAUUUUAACAAUACUCAACUGCC
Mustela lutreola (European mink) is the source of this 870-nucleotide long non-coding RNA. RefSeq lists it as uncharacterized. Lineage: Eukaryota; Metazoa; Chordata; Mammalia; Carnivora; Mustelidae. The record is from RefSeq and is a predicted model, not a curated record. The transcript is spliced from 6 exons.